CUAGCUUCUGUCUUGUGCAGCGACGUCUAGCCGUGCAUUCCUUUUCAUUUUUUGGUGCAAGUGCGACUUAGCCUUGACCGUCCCAUCGGUUUCCUGUGUUGCGUACCCACUUGAUGGAAUUCGGUCGCCAAUAUUCCCACGUUCGCUUAAGGCCGCCCGUUUUUACGGUGUGGCUUAGGGUGAUCCUCGAAGCGAGAUUCGUGUUCCCCGACACACGUUGCAUGACAAUGUUGUUGUGGCCCACGUCUCAUCGUUCGUGCUCUGGGAUGCAGAAAACGCUGGAGGCAUGGGGUCUUUGACCUCUAUUUGCCCACGUAAAUCGAAAACAUCCAAACGACGUUCGGCGUCGCAUUGGUGCUAGCGCCAUGCGGCUCGAUGUCCGUGAGGAAUGCUACCU
RNAcentral lists this unclassified non-coding RNA (397 nucleotides) under Kelloggia chinensis. RNAcentral describes it as "partial external transcribed spacer". The record is from RNAcentral. Lineage: Eukaryota; Viridiplantae; Streptophyta; Magnoliopsida; Gentianales; Rubiaceae.